Molecule: microRNA precursor, 135 nt
Filed under: Hordeum vulgare
Lineage: Eukaryota; Viridiplantae; Streptophyta; Magnoliopsida; Poales; Poaceae
Description: microRNA MIR1122
Rfam family: MIR1120/MIR1122 microRNA precursor family
Source: RNAcentral
CAUGUACUUCCUUCGUUCUAAAAUUCUUAUCUUAAAUUUGUGUAUAUAUGAAUGUAUCUAGUCACGUUUUAGUAUUUUGAUACAUCUAUUUCUAGACAAAUCUAAGACAAAAAUUUAGGACGAAAGGAGUAGCAC